UCACUUUAUUUAACUAAUAACAUUAAUAUUACAAAACCCUUCACCACUACUGAAUGACUCCAUAACCAUAUGGAGAACACUAUGCUAGAACUAGUAACAAGAAGAAGACCUCCUCCAAAAUGUAAGUGUAAGCCAAAAUGAACAACUCACUGGCACUUAUCGUCUCUGAACUUAAAGUAGUAACUUCACAAGAAAAUUCUACCCCCACAAACGUUAACCUUACACCAGAACAUUACCGGAAAGAUUAAAAAAAGAGGAAGGAACUCGGCAAAUUUUAACCCCGCCUGUUUACCAAAAACAUCGCCUCCUGAAAUAACCAUAGGAGGUCCAGCCUGCCCAGUGACAAAGUUAAACGGCCGCGGUACCCUAACCGUGCGAAGGUAGCGCAAUCACUUGUUCUUUAAAUGAGGACUAGUAUGAAUGGCAUCACGAGGGUUAUACUGUCUCCCUCUUUUAAUCAGUGAAACUGAUCUUCCCGUGAAGAAGCGGGAAUACAUCUAUAAGACGAGAAGACCCCAUGGAGCUUUAAACUCAGUAUCAACUGCCCUCCCAAUAUAUCCACCUAAUUAAGCAGACAUGACUACUAGUUUUCGGUUGGGGUGACCGCGGAGCAAAACAAAACCUCCACGAUGAAAGGAAUUAACCUCCUAAUCAAAGAGCUACAUCUCUAAGAAUCAACAAAUUGACAUUUAUUGAUCCAAUUUUUUGAUCAACGAACCAAGUUACCCUGGGGAUAACAGCGCAAUCCAUUUCAAGAGCCCCUAUCGACAAAUGGGUUUACGACCUCGAUGUUGGAUCAGGGUAUCCCAGUGGUGCAGCCGCUACUAAAGGUUCGUUUGUUCAACGAUUAAAACCCUACGUG
This 862-nucleotide ribosomal RNA is filed under the name Scaphiophryne madagascariensis. RNAcentral's name for it is "partial 16S ribosomal RNA". It matches the Rfam family "Bacterial large subunit ribosomal RNA", at positions 1216 to 2602 of the family's 2925-position model. The record is from RNAcentral. Lineage: Eukaryota; Metazoa; Chordata; Amphibia; Anura; Microhylidae.